This 505-nucleotide ribosomal RNA is filed under the name uncultured Planctomycetota bacterium. RNAcentral's name for it is "bacterial SSU rRNA". It matches the Rfam family "Bacterial small subunit ribosomal RNA", at positions 424 to 937 of the family's 1533-position model. Lineage: Bacteria; Pseudomonadati; Planctomycetota. The record is from RNAcentral.
UGUAAAGCACUGUCGAGGGGGAGAAAGGCCGCAAGGCGUGAUCUAUCCCUGGAGGAAGCUCGGGCUAAGUUCGUGCCAGCAGCCGCGGUAAGACGAACCGAGCGAACGUUGUUCGGAAUAACUGGGCUUAAAGGGCGCGUAGGCGGGCCGCCAAGUUCGAGGUGAAAUCCUCCGGCUCAACCGGAGAACUGCCUCGAAUACUGGAGGCCUCGAGGCGGGUAGGGGCAUGCGGAACUGUGGGUGGAGCGGUGAAAUGCGUUGAUAUCCACAGGAACUCCGGUGGCGAAGGCGGCAUGCUGGACCCGAUCUGACGCUGAGGCGCGAAAGCCAGGGGAGCAAACGGGAUUAGAUACCCCGGUAGUCCUGGCCCUAAACGAUGGGUACUAGGUAGUAGACUUGACAUGGGUUUACUGCCGGAGCUAAAGUGCUAAGUACCCCGCCUGGGGAGUAUGGUCGCAAGGCUGAAACUCAAAGGAAUUGACGGGGGCUCACACAAGCGGUGGAG